This 774-nucleotide ribosomal RNA is filed under the name uncultured bacterium. RNAcentral describes it as "bacterial SSU rRNA". It matches the Rfam family "Bacterial small subunit ribosomal RNA", at positions 8 to 796 of the family's 1533-position model. The record is from RNAcentral.
AGAGUUUGAUCAUGGCUCAGGACGAACGCUGGCGGCGUGCCUAACACAUGCAAGUCACGGGGGGUAGCAAUACCAACCGGCGAACGGGUGCGUAACACGUGAGCAAUCUACCGAGUACUGGGGGAUAGCCGGCCUAACGGCCGGGUAAUACCGCAUACGUUCACCGAGGGACAUCCCUUGGUGAAGAAACCUCCGGGGGUAUUCGAGGAGCUCGCGACCUAUCAGCUAGUUGGCGGGGUAACGGCCCACCAAGGCUCCGACGGGUAGCUGGUCUGAGAGGAUGGCCAGCCACAUUGGGACUGCGACACGGCCCAGACUCCUACGGGAGGCAGCAGUGGGGAAUAUUGCGCAAUGGACGAAAGUCUGACGCAGCGACGCCGCGUGUGGGAUGAAGCUCUUCGGGGUGUAAACCACUGUUGCCCGGGACGAAUCUCCUUUUUCGAAAGGAUUGACGGUACCGGGUGAGGAAGCACCGGCUAACUCUGUGCCAGCAGCCGCGGUAAUACAGAGGGUGCGAGCGUUGUCCGGAAUCACUGGGCGUAAAGGGCGCGUAGGUGGCUUGUUAAGCGUGUGGUGAAAGCCUGGGGCUCAACCCCAGGUCUGCCGUGCGGACUGGCAAGCUGGAGCAGAGUAGAGGCGAGUGGAAUUUCGGGUGUAGCGGUGGAAUGCAGAUAUCCGAAAGAACACCGGUGGCGAAGGCGGCUCGCUGGGCUCUUGCUGACACUGCAGCGCGACAGCGUGGGGAGCAAACAGGAUUAGAUACCCUAGUAGUCC